RNAcentral lists this long non-coding RNA (1050 nucleotides) under Anser cygnoides (Swan goose). Its description in RNAcentral is "lncRNA (ENSACDG00005004713.1)". Lineage: Eukaryota; Metazoa; Chordata; Aves; Anseriformes; Anatidae. The record is from RNAcentral.
AAGCAGUGACUCUGGAAAGCCUCUUUCAACUGUUCCCUAAAUGUGACAGCACCCAAGCUCUUCUAGCACUUCAUUUCUCAGUCUUUCAGAGCUCUGAGUGCCUGAAGUCCUGAGCAAGCCUUCAGCAGCGUCUUGGUCGUGACAAAGCUGGAAGGUCAUUGCCUACCUUGUAUGAAAACCUGAGUGCAAUCAGCAUAAAGGUUUCAGCAGGUAUCUGUCCACGUCUAAUGCACAUGCACAGGCCCAAGUUCUUUAUCUUCCUAUAAAAGGCAGUGAAGGCUAAUGUUCGCUUUUGAAAUGGCAUGUGAUAUGGCUGUGGUAGAUUACAGCAUUCUCUCUGGCUGCAUAAGCAACUUGUUUUCAAAGUCCUCCGUUGACUUAGGUUAGAUUCAGACCCAUGUUUCAUAUUCCUUUCAGUAUGUUUUAACCACAAAACCAUAGACUGCUCUAGGGAAUAGAGGAGGAACAUUUAUCAUUCUUUUUAGCGAAGCUGUGUCAUUGUACGGAAGAGAAUCCAAGAUCAGCUGGAUCAGAGAGAAGCAUGAUUAUUCUGUGUGGGAAUUUGAUCUGUGCCAUUCAUGAUGAGCAGUACCCUAACGGAUUAAUGGGCAGUAAUGAUGCUGCUCCUGAAUUUGGAAGUCAGUAUUAAUGGGGAUCACAGAUCCCACCUUUAGGUUACUUACUGAGUAAGUCAAGAAAAUAGAUUUCAUGGCAAUAUGCACCACUGAUUUUUAGUGGGAACUGAAGUUUUCAUGUGCUGCACUGUAUUCUUACAGUUCUCGGGAGUGGAAGUCACAUAUAUGUGACUUCUUCCUUCUGAUGCCCUGGGGGAGAUUCUCAGUUCGGGUUGUGACAGUCACGUUGGAUUAGCUGGAAGCUGAGGGAAAAGACUGUGAAUAGAUACACAGAAAAAAAAAAAAAUUUAAGGCUACUGUUUUUGAAGAACACAUUCAAUCAAGAAUAAGCCAAAGGCUGAACAGACAGAUUUAGUUGGUUAAUUAUAAAUGAAUUAUAAAUAAAUUUAAUUAUAAAUAAUUAUAAGUUGUAUAA